This is a long non-coding RNA of Armigeres subalbatus, 1183 nucleotides long. RefSeq lists it as uncharacterized. The transcript has 4 exons. NCBI's taxonomy places the organism in Eukaryota, Metazoa, Arthropoda, Insecta, Diptera, Culicidae. The record is from RefSeq and is a predicted model, not a curated record.
GAGGAUUUAUCUUCGCUCAUCUAUAUAUUCCACUAUCUAUAGUGCAUAUAUGUUUUCCUCUGCAACACACUGAAAAUUUGAACACGCUUGGUGAUAACUUACCUGCCGCAUUGCAUUUAAUUGUGGGCAUUUCUGAUUUCUGCUGGAACCAAGGCUGGAACAAAAUUCUUGAUUCAAAACGUACACGCUUAUAUCAGUUUACCUAUUUAUGGGUACUUUGAUCACCCAUAUUUGGGUAGUGUGAACAUUACUCAUAUUAUGGGUGAAAUGUACCGAAAAAAUCGGCAAAUUUCACCCACAUCUUUAGUUACAUAACUUUACCGAUAUAUGGGUAAAUUAAUUUACCCAUAUUUGGAUGAAAAUAAAAACAUUUGCGUCAGAAUAGCAUCAGCCAACAAAUCGCGUAGACUAUCGAUAAAAAAUAAUGUCGAGGAUCGAAAUACUUAAACUUAAACGCUGAAACCACGAUCAACAGCAAACGCCAUGGAACGGGGAAAUUUCAUGAAGAAUUCUGCCACUUCUUGGUGCAAAAACAGGUCCAUUUCCUAACCAGUGGGUUCCCCGCCAUCUGCAAAUCGACCAACCAAAACACGCCAUCGGCCGGAGCGGAAAUUUGGAACCGCAUAAAGAAAACCGAUAAGAGUCUAAACGGUCUAAACUACAAGCCCACGAUUUACAGCCUCAUGUUUGAACGGUUAUUGUUCUCCCCAGAGAACCAUUAACAGGGAACAGCAGUGCGGAUCGCUUCUCAGCAGCCCACCCGGCCAUUCCAUAGCGCAUUGUCCCUCGUAGAACGAAUCAACAGAAUGAGAUGGCACCACCGAAAAACUCACCGUUUGGGGCGCUCUCAAUCUUCUCAGAGCCUUCUUGCUUACGGAGAACAACGAACCUAUUUGAUUUUGGAAGACGGAGCUCGCUUAAUCAGUCCCGUACCAGCCAUUUCGUUAUUGGGCGUCAGUCAAAACGAAGUGCCAAGAUGAAAUCCAGAAUUGGGCAAUGAGAGAAACCGCUUCGUUCACACAAGCGGAAAUAUGCGGCAGGAAUUCGACGUCACCAGUAAUACCUGGCAAGAGCUGUUAUUCAACAUAAUGCGACACCUGCUAUUCUCAAGAUGGUGAUCAUAAUUGCGAUAUUUGUAAAAUACAUAUAAUAAAACCAAAUGGCUAAUAAAGUUAUUCUUAAU